Molecule: long non-coding RNA, 342 nt
Filed under: Homo sapiens (human)
Lineage: Eukaryota; Metazoa; Chordata; Mammalia; Primates; Hominidae
Description: HSALNT0308984
Source: RNAcentral
AGAAUGUUUCAAGACUGGGAGAGAACAACAUCCCAAGUGGGGCAGAAUUUUAAUUUUUCUCUCUUGAAAUGUUUCCAACCUUGGAACUGCAUUCAUGGAUGGGAAGAGCUGAUGGAAGCCAAGUGGGAGAGAAAGUACAAAGGAAGAUUUCCAGAGAUAAAGAGAACAACUCCUCAGUGAGCCGGCUUGGAGAGAACAAGUGGAGGGAGGCACGUCUUCAGCCUGUCGUUAGCAGAUGUUUACUAACUCACUGUGGUACUGGAGCCAGCUGGGGCUAACUGAGGAACAUUUUCCAUCCCAGAUCCUUUGUGGUGAAAAAGAAUAAAGUAGAAAAUGAAUGGC